Molecule: ribosomal RNA, 354 nt
Filed under: Priestia megaterium
Lineage: Bacteria; Bacillati; Bacillota; Bacilli; Caryophanales; Bacillaceae
Description: bacterial SSU rRNA
Rfam family: Bacterial small subunit ribosomal RNA
Source: RNAcentral
UUUUGGCUCAGGACGAACGCUGGCGGCGUGCCUAAUACAUGCAAGUCGAGCGAACUGAUUAGAAGCUUGCUUCUAUGACGUUAGCGGCGGACGGGUGAGUAACACGUGGGCAACCUGCCUGUAAGACUGGGAUAACUUCGGGAAACCGAAGCUAAUACCGGAUAGGAUCUUCUCCUUCAUGGGAGAUGAUUGAAAGAUGGUUUCGGCUAUCACUUACAGAUGGGCCCGCGGUGCAUUAGCUAGUUGGUGAGGUAACGGCUCACCAAGGCAACGAUGCAUAGCCGACCUGAGAGGGUGAUCGGCCACACUGGGACUGAGACACGGCCCAGACUCCUACGGGAGGCAGCAGUAGGA